This 510-nucleotide ribosomal RNA is filed under the name Chaetoceros affinis. RNAcentral describes it as "partial Bacterial small subunit ribosomal RNA". It matches the Rfam family "Bacterial small subunit ribosomal RNA", at positions 470 to 978 of the family's 1533-position model. The record is from RNAcentral. Lineage: Eukaryota; Bacillariophyta; Thalassiosirophyceae; Chaetocerotales; Chaetocerotaceae.
AGACGGUACCUUCAAAGGAAGCGCCGGCUAACUCCGUGCCAGCAGCCGCGGUAAUACGGAGGGCGCAAACGUUGCUCGGAAUCAUUGGGCGUAAAGCGUACGUAGGCGGCUUAUCAAGUCUGGUGUGAAAGCCCGGGGCUCAACCUCGGAAUGCCACUGGAAACUGAUAAGCUUGAGAGUGAGAGGGGUUAGUGGAAUUUCUGGUGUAGGGGUGAAAUCCGUAGAGAUCAGAAGGAACACCGGUGGCGAAGGCGACUGACUGGAUCACAUCUGACGCUGAGGUACGAAAGCGUGGUUAGCAAACAGGAUUAGAUACCCUGGUAGUCCACGCCGUAAACGAUGUUCACUAGCUGCUGGGGGCCUUGGCGCUCGCAGUGGCGAAGCUAACGCAUUAAGUGAACCGCCUGGGGAGUACGGUCGCAAGACUAAAACUCAAAUGAAUUGACGGGGGCCCGCACAAGCGGUGGAGCAUGUGGUUUAAUUCGAUGAUACGCGAGGAACCUUACCCGG